AGACAUGACAGUCAUCUGGCUGUGAUAUCUAUUACCUUAUUGAUGCCCAGGAUGGCUUCAGCUGACCCAUCUGGCUAGGCAGGUGUCCCUUUCCUCCCUCACUGCUUCACAUGUGCCCCUCCUGAAGCUGCGCACUUGGUUGAAGAUGACGACCAUCCCCAAUAGAGAAGGACUGCUUUUUGGUCAAAGGCAUACAACUACCUGUGCUCUCUUAUAGAAUCUCCAAAUCAGCUGUCAAGGGGAAGGUCUCAUUGUGCUACACAGUGAGAGGAGAUGUGUGUCACAUAGCCAUCAGCCCUCU
Unclassified non-coding RNA from Otolemur garnettii (small-eared galago), 301 nucleotides. Its record names the gene 7SK. It matches the Rfam family "7SK RNA". Rfam says of the family: 7SK was discovered as an abundant small nuclear RNA in the mid-70s but a possible function has only recently been suggested. Two independent studies have found that 7SK RNA binds the CDK9/cyclin T complex (known as elongation factor P-TEFb). NCBI's taxonomy places the organism in Eukaryota, Metazoa, Chordata, Mammalia, Primates, Galagidae. The record is from Ensembl.